AAAACCACUGAUGAAUAAGGGUGGGGCAAGUUCUGGUGUCAGCCGCCGCGGUAAANCCAGCACCUCAAGUGGUCAGGAUGAUUAUUGGGCCUAAAGCAUCCGUAGCCUGUUCUGUAAGUUUCCGGUUAAAUCCAUUAGCUCAACUAAUGGGCUGCCGAAAAUACUGCAAAACUAGGGAGUGGGAGAGGUAGACGGUACUCGGUAGGAAGGGGUAAAAUCCUUUGAUCUAUUGAUGACCACCUGUGGCGAAGGCGGUCUACCAGAACACGUUCGACGGUGAGGGAUGAAAGCUGGGGGAGCAAACCGGAUUAGAUACCCGGGUAGUCCCAGCUGUAAACGAUGCAGACUCGGUGAUGCGCUGGCUUGUGGCCAGUGCAGUGCCGCAGGGAAGCCGUUAAGUUUGCCGCCUGGGAAGUACGUACGCAAGUAUGAAACUUAAAGGAAUUGGCGGGGGAGCACCACAAGGGGUGAAGCCUGCGGUUCAAUUGGAGUCAACGCCAGAAAUCUUACCCGAAGAGACAGCAGAAUGAAGGUCAAGCUGGAGACUUUACCAGACAAGCUGAGAAGUGGUGCAUGGCCGUCGCCAGCUCGUGCCGUGAGAUGUCCUGUUAAGUCAGGUAACGAGCGAGAUCCCUGCCUCUAGUUGCCACCAUUACUCUCCGGAGUAGUGGGGCGAAUUAGCGGGACCGCCGUAGUUAAUACGGAGGAAGGAAGGGGCCACGGCAGGUCAGUAUGCCCUGAAACUUUGGGGCCACACGCGGGCUGCAAUGGUAACGACAGUGGGUUCCUAAUCCGAAAGGUGGAGGUAAUCCUCAAACGUUACCACAGUUAUGAUUGAGGGCUGCAACUCGCCCUCAUGAAUAUGGAAUCCCUAGUAACUGCGUGUCAUUAUCGCGCGGUGAAUACGUCCCUGCUCCUUGCACACACCGCCCGUCGUUUCAUUGAAGUUUGCUUUUAGCGAGGUGAUGUCUCAUGGUCGUCAUCGAACUG
RNAcentral lists this ribosomal RNA (990 nucleotides) under uncultured marine group I thaumarchaeote. RNAcentral describes it as "bacterial SSU rRNA". It matches the Rfam family "Archaeal small subunit ribosomal RNA", at positions 421 to 1410 of the family's 1478-position model. The record is from RNAcentral. Lineage: Archaea; Thermoproteati; Nitrososphaerota.